Molecule: ribosomal RNA, 497 nt
Filed under: uncultured bacterium
Lineage: Bacteria
Description: partial 16S ribosomal RNA
Rfam family: Bacterial small subunit ribosomal RNA
Source: RNAcentral
ACUCAAAGGAAUAGACGGGGGCCCGCACAAGCGGCGGAGCAUGUGGAUUAAUUCGAUGCAACGCGAAGAACCUUACCUGGGUUUGACAUGGCCGCUGUAGCCGCAGAGAUGCGGUGUCCUUCGGGGGUGGUCACAGGUGGUGCAUGGCUGUCGUCAGCUCGUGUCGUGAGAUGUUGGGUUAAGUCCCGCAACGAGCGCAACCCUUGUCCGAUGUUGCCAGCGGGUUAUGCCGGGGACUCAUCGGAGACUGCCGGGGUCAACUCGGAGGAAGGUGGGGAUGACGUCAAGUCAUCAUGCCCCUUAUGUCCAGGGCUUCACACAUGCUACAAUGGCCGGUACAAAGGGCUGCGAUACCGUGAGGUGGAGCGAAUCCCAAAAAGCCGGUCUCAGUUCGGAUCGGGGUCUGCAACUCGACCCCGUGAAGUCGGAGUCGCUAGUAAUCGCAGAUCAGCAUUGCUGCGGUGAAUACGUUCCCGGGCCUUGUACACACCGCCCGU